UCCGGUAUGGUGUAACGGUCAACAUUACCGCUUUUCAAGAAAUUUGGGUUACGUAAGAUGCUUACGUAAGCGUUUGAAAAGCGCGGUAGCUCGGGGUUCGAUUCCCCGUACCGGAA
Non-coding RNA from Mycena vulgaris, 116 nucleotides. The record is from the annotation of a GenBank genome assembly. NCBI's taxonomy places the organism in Eukaryota, Fungi, Basidiomycota, Agaricomycetes, Agaricales, Mycenaceae.